RNAcentral lists this ribosomal RNA (478 nucleotides) under uncultured bacterium. RNAcentral describes it as "partial 16S ribosomal RNA". It matches the Rfam family "Bacterial small subunit ribosomal RNA", at positions 28 to 523 of the family's 1533-position model. The record is from RNAcentral.
GACGAACGCUGGCGGCGUGCUUAACACAUGCAAGUCGAACGGUAAGGCCCUUCGGGGUACACGAGUGGCGAACGGGUGAGUAACACGUGGGUGAUCUGCCCUGCACUUCGGGAUAAGCCUGGGAAACUGGGUCUAAUACCGGAUAGGACUCCGGACUGCAUGGUCUGGGGUGGAAAGCUUUUGCGGUGUGGGAUGGGCCCGCGGCCUAUCAGCUUGGUGGGGGGGUGAUGGCCUACCAAGGCGACGACGGGUAGCCGGCCUGAGAGGGUGACCGGCCGCACGGGGACUGAGAUACGGCCCAGAGUCCUACGGGAGGCAGCAGUGGGGAAUAUUGCACAAUGGGCGCAAGCCUGAUGCAGCGACGCCGCGUGAGGGAUGACGGCCUUCGGGUUGUAAACCUCUUUCAGCAUCGACGAAGCGAAAGUGACGGUAGGUGCAGAAGAAGGACCGGCCAACUACGUGCCAGCCGCCGCCGUAA